RNAcentral lists this unclassified non-coding RNA (345 nucleotides) under soil metagenome. RNAcentral describes it as "partial contains 5.8S ribosomal RNA, internal transcribed spacer 2, and large subunit ribosomal RNA". The stretch from base 1 to 121 matches the Rfam family "5.8S ribosomal RNA", at positions 35 to 154 of the family's 154-position model. The record is from RNAcentral.
GAUGAAGAACGUAGCGAAAUGCGAUAAGUAAUGCGAAUUGCAGAAUUUCCGUGAGUCAUCGAAUCUUUGAACGCACAUUGCGCCCACUGGUAUUCCGGUGGGCAUGCCUGUUCGAGCGUCAUUAUCCUCCCUCAAACCCCGGGUUUGGUGUUGGACCCAAGUUGUGUGAACAACUGGUCUCAAAGACAAUGACGGCGUCCGUGGGACCCUCGGCGCAACGAGCUUUUAGGAGCACGCAUCGAGUUGCAAGGACCUUCCGGGCCGGUCUCCUUUACCAUUUUACAAGGUUGACCUCGGAUCAGGUAGGAAUACCCGCUGAACUUAAGCAUAUCAAUAAGCGGAGGA